AUUGAAACUUCCUUUACUGUUGUCAGGAGGUAAGUUCGCAUUUUAAACUAACUUGCAGACCUUACAACAGCUAACAGUGGCUUAUGGCAGAAAAAUCAAUUUCCCUACAGGCGUUAUGGACUGAAUUUCAAUUUGCAAAACAUAUGAAAAUAAAAAUGUUUAUACUUAAUUCUGGUAGUGAAGUGGUUAUGGAUUACUGUUUUAGUCUCAUCGGAUUUAUCUGACUUUUGCAUGUAUAUACAGAUUCACUAAUUCCUACCUCCAAUUAAACAAAUCGCAAUGUGACUUUGAGGAAAGGAUCCAAAGUAGCCACACCACACUGCUUUUCAUUCUAACUGCCACUUGCAUUAAUGAGUAUUGCAAAAAAUAACAAAAUCAGUAGAUCUGCCAUUCUAAAAAUGGUUUAGAA
Molecule: non-coding RNA, 409 nt
Organism: Pelobates cultripes (western spadefoot toad)
Lineage: Eukaryota; Metazoa; Chordata; Amphibia; Anura; Pelobatidae
Source: the annotation of a GenBank genome assembly